RNAcentral lists this unclassified non-coding RNA (265 nucleotides) under Hevea brasiliensis (rubber tree). Lineage: Eukaryota; Viridiplantae; Streptophyta; Magnoliopsida; Malpighiales; Euphorbiaceae. The record is from RNAcentral.
AGGAUCCUGCUUAAAUCCGGAGAAACAUCAGUCAAUCCACCAUCCUCACCCCGACUGUCACCAUUCCUUCUUGCUCUAUCAUAAUCACCCCCUUCUCUUGCAAUGUCAUCCAAUACAGGCUUCCUCCCCAUCUCUAUGUCACCUACAGAUUUUUCUAUGUUUGCACCCACAAAACUACCCAUUCUGGGUGGAAUUUCAGGCUCCUUGCAAACUUUUGUCCUGAAAUUAUUCUUAGAUGGAGGAAUGCUAGAGCAAAAGAUCUCCA